UGGGGAAUAUUGGACAAUGGGGGCAACCCUGAUCCAGCAAUGCCGCGUGUGUGAAGAAGGCCUGCGGGUUGUAAAGCACUUUUGGCAGGGAUGAAAAGCACUGGAUUAAUAACCCAGUGUGUUGACCUAACCUGCAGAAGAAGCACCGGCUAACUCUGUGCCAGCAGCCGCGGUAAUACAGGGGGUGCGAGCGUUAAUCGGAUUUACUGGGCGUAAAGGGCGCGUAGGCGGCAAUUCAAGUCAUCUGUGAAAUCUCCGGGCUUAACUCGGAACGGUCAGAUGAUACUGCUUUGCUAGAGUGCAGAAGGGGCAAUCGGAAUUCUUGGUGUAGCGGUGAAAUGCGUAGAUAUCAAGAGGAACACCUGAGGUGAAGACGGGUUGCUGGGCUGACACUGACGCUGAGGCGCGAAAGCCAGGGGAGCAAACGGGAUUAGAUACCCAGGUAGUCCCUGAGCGGGCUGGCAAGGCGCAU
RNAcentral lists this ribosomal RNA (472 nucleotides) under uncultured bacterium. RNAcentral's name for it is "bacterial SSU rRNA". It matches the Rfam family "Bacterial small subunit ribosomal RNA", at positions 355 to 825 of the family's 1533-position model. The record is from RNAcentral.